RNAcentral lists this long non-coding RNA (924 nucleotides) under Linum usitatissimum (flax). RNAcentral's name for it is "long non-coding RNA (LUSI_LNC002137)". The record is from RNAcentral. Lineage: Eukaryota; Viridiplantae; Streptophyta; Magnoliopsida; Malpighiales; Linaceae.
CUGGAUCGAAGUCAAGCAUGAAAUUCACUCCUUCACUUCUGGUGACCAAUCAAAGGGUGGGAUUGAAGAAGCUCGAUUAGAAGCGUGCAGAUUGCAAGCUAACAUUGCUAGAUCUGAAACAGAUGAUCUUGAUGAGAGGGUGUAUCUGUCGUCGUUUGCCUAUUAGCUACCGUUUGUUUUCCGAAAAAUGUAUAUCUAUGUGGGAAUCUAUGGUUCUCGGCACAAUCAAUCCCAGCCUUACGAAAAGACGAAGUUAGCUGUUAUUCUGAAAUUCAAAACUAAUAGCUUCAUAUCAUCUGCUCAAGUUCAUAGUUGAGUUCAUGAUUGAAGAGAAGCUCUUUCAAGAUUUGCAUAGAGAAAACACUCCUAUCAUAAAAGAAGACACUCGUAUCUGCUAUAGCCCAAUACAUUGUUACAAAAUGACAACUACUAAAACCAGCUUCCAGCUUCUAAGCACAAGGAAUGAGGCAUAUUUGUCCUCUCUGCGUAACUGCAAACUCCAGAAUGGAUUAUGAAGCGAAAAAAUCCUUCAACGUAGGGAAACCAAAGAAGUCAGGUUACUAACGUCUGCCAGUUCGAGAUUUUGGCUUAGCUGACCUCUGCAAUUGGGAGAAAUAUUGGAGAAAGAAUAAAUCAGUCAGACCCGCAGGUAUAGCAAGUGGUAUAAAUUCACAAGGGCAUGACCUGCAUAUCAUAGAACUAAAGUGGGCGUAAUAGCACGAUUACUUACAGACGCACUGCUGAAGCUAGCUCCAGAACCCGUUGCAGCACCUAGCACAAGAGAGAAAAUAAAGGUAUGGACAUAGGUUAGAAUUACAAGUCGGAUCAGGAGUAUACAGCACAUCCAUGAUAUUCUGGCUUAGCGUCCAGAGAGGUUGAGGGAUGAUGAAAGUUAACAUACCUGAAGGAAAUGGUGUUGAAAAU